Molecule: ribosomal RNA, 253 nt
Filed under: uncultured bacterium
Lineage: Bacteria
Description: partial 16S ribosomal RNA
Rfam family: Bacterial small subunit ribosomal RNA
Source: RNAcentral
UACGUAGGGUGCAAGCGUUAAUCGGAAUUACUGGGCGUAAAGCGUGCGCAGGCGGCUCUGCAAGACAGAUGUGAAAUCCCCGGGCUCAACCUGGGAAUUGCAUUUGUGACUGCAGCGCUGGAGUGCGGCAGAGGGAGGUGGAAUUCCGCGUGUAGCAGUGAAAUGCGUAGAGAUGCGGAGGAACACCGAUGGCGAAGGCAGCCCCCUGGGCUAACACUGACGCUGAGGCACGAAAGCGUGGGGAGCAAACAGG